This 253-nucleotide ribosomal RNA is filed under the name uncultured bacterium. RNAcentral's name for it is "partial 16S ribosomal RNA". It matches the Rfam family "Bacterial small subunit ribosomal RNA", at positions 524 to 776 of the family's 1533-position model. The record is from RNAcentral.
GACGAAGGUGGCAAGCGUUGUUCGGAAUCACUGGGCAUAAAGAGCACGUAGGCGGCUAAGUAAGUCGGAUGUGAAAUACCUCGGCUCAACCGAGGAACUGCGUCCGAUACUGCUUGGCUUGAGGUCCGGAGGGGAGAGUGGAAUUCCCGGUGGAGCGGUGAAAUGCGUAGAGAUCGGGAAGAACGCCGGCGGCGAAAGCGACUCUCUGGUCGGAAUCUGACGCUGAGGUGCGAAAGCUAGGGGAGCAAACGGG